RNAcentral lists this ribosomal RNA (253 nucleotides) under uncultured bacterium. RNAcentral describes it as "partial 16S ribosomal RNA". It matches the Rfam family "Bacterial small subunit ribosomal RNA", at positions 524 to 776 of the family's 1533-position model. The record is from RNAcentral.
GACGAACCGAGCGAACGUUGUUCGGAAUCACUGGGCUUAAAGGGCGCGUAGGCGGCUUGCCAAGUCAGGGGUGAAAUCUUUCGGCUUAACCGGAAAAGUGCCUCUGAUACUGGCGAGCUAGAGGGAGGUAGGGGCAUGUGGAACUUCCGGUGGAGCGGUGAAAUGCGUUGAUAUCGGAAGGAACGCCGGUGGCGAAAGCGACGUGCUGGAUCUCUUCUGACGCUGAGGCGCGAAAGCUAGGGGAGCGAACGGG